GGUAAUACGGAGGGUCCAAGCGUUAAUCGGAAUUACUGGGCGUAAAGCGCGCGUAGGCGGUUUGACAAGUUGGGUGUGAAAUCCUCGGGCUUAACCUGGGAACUGCAUUCAAAACUUUUAAACUGGAGUACGGGAGAGGAGAGUAGAAUUCAUGGUGUAGCGGUGAAAUGUGUAGAUAUAGGAAGGAAUACCGAUGGCGAAGGCAGCCUCCUGGACCAAUACUGACGCUGAGGUGCGAAAGCGUGGGUAGCAAACAGGAUUAGAUACCCUGGUAGUCCACGCCGUAAACGAUGAGAACUAGCCGUCGGGGUCCUAGAGACCUUGGUGGCGCAGCUAACGCGAUAAGUUCUCCGCCUGGGGAGUACGGCCGCAAGGUUAAAACUCAAAUGAAUUGACGGGGGCCCGCACAAGCGGUGGAGCAUGUUGUUUAAUUCGAUGCAACGCGAAGAACCUUACCACCCCUUGACAUACUUGGAAUUUUCCAGAGACGGAUUAGUGCCUUCGGGAACCAAGAUACAGGUGCUGCAUGGCU
This 532-nucleotide ribosomal RNA is filed under the name uncultured Gammaproteobacteria bacterium. RNAcentral describes it as "bacterial SSU rRNA". It matches the Rfam family "Bacterial small subunit ribosomal RNA", at positions 519 to 1050 of the family's 1533-position model. Lineage: Bacteria; Pseudomonadati; Pseudomonadota; Gammaproteobacteria. The record is from RNAcentral.